RNAcentral lists this RNase P RNA (355 nucleotides) under Chloroflexota bacterium. RNAcentral describes it as "Chloroflexi bacterium (bioreactor metagenome) RNase P RNA component class A". It matches the Rfam family "Bacterial RNase P class A". From Rfam's summary of the family: Ribonuclease P (RNase P) is a ubiquitous endoribonuclease, found in archaea, bacteria and eukarya as well as chloroplasts and mitochondria. Its best characterised activity is the generation of mature 5'-ends of tRNAs by cleaving the 5'-leader elements of precursor-tRNAs. Lineage: Bacteria; Bacillati; Chloroflexota. The record is from RNAcentral.
CGAGGCGGUCGGAUGGCCGCGCGUCGCGGGGCAACCCGUCGGCGUGAGGAAAGUCCGAGCUCCACAGCGCAGGGUAGCGGGUAACUCCCGUCCGCCGAGAGGCGAGGACCAGCGCCACAGUGACGAUGCCGACCGAGCCUUCGGGCUCGGUUUGGAGUGAAACGCGGCAAGCUCUACCCGGAGCAAGGCCAAAUAGGAGGGCGCAGCCCGGUUCGCCGGGCGACAGGCGCGCUGCCCAGCCCUCGGGUCGGCCGCAUGAGCCGUCGGGUGACCGGCGGCCCCAGAUGGAUGGCCAUCGCCGUGCUACCGCGAGGCGGCGCGGCACAGAACUCGGCUUACAGGCCGCGCUCGCUGA